GACGAACGCUGGCGGCGUGCCUAAUACAUGCAAGUUGAGCGCUGAAGGUUGGUCCUUGUACCAACUGGAUGAGCAGCGAACGGGUGAGUAACGCGUGGGGAAUCUGCCUUUGAGCGGGGGACAACAUUUGGAAACGAAUGCUAAUACCGCAUAAAAACUUUAAACACAAGUUUUAAGUUUGAAAGAUGCAAUUGCAUCACUCAAAGAUGAUCCCGCGUUGUAUUAGCUAGUUGGUGAGGUAAAGGCUCACCAAGGCGAUGAUACAUAGCCGACCUGAGAGGGUGAUCGGCCACAUUGGGACUGAGACACGGCCCAAACUCCUACGGGAGGCAGCAGUAGGGAAUCUUCGGCAAUGGACGAAAGUCUGACCGAGCAACGCCGCGUGAGUGAAGAAGGUUUUCGGAUCGUAAAACUCUGUUGGUAGAGAAGAACGUAGGUGAGAGUGGAAAGCUCAUCAAGUGACGGUAACUACCCAGAAAGGGACGGCUAACUACGUG
RNAcentral lists this ribosomal RNA (497 nucleotides) under uncultured bacterium. RNAcentral describes it as "partial 16S ribosomal RNA". It matches the Rfam family "Bacterial small subunit ribosomal RNA", at positions 28 to 507 of the family's 1533-position model. The record is from RNAcentral.